UGCUGAAACUGCACUUAGUCGGAGAAUGGAAGCUUGUUGUCAACUUGCCUUGGAUGGAAAUGCUCGAGGGGAGGUGGUGUCACCCAGUUCGGCCGGCUGGCAGCGAGAGAGAUGCAGUCGAUCACUCCGAAAAGGCGUCCAGGCUUGUCGAGUGGUGAACCUUCAACUGUUACAAGUGGGCAGAAGAUUUAAAUCUGCAAAAGAUGCUGAUGACCAUCUGAACGUCUUUCGGUCGAUAACUGAUAGGAAAUAAGUCUGUGAACAUGUGGUUUGGAGGAUGAAGACUACAAAUGACACAGAAGAUGACAUGAGUUGGAAGUGGAGGGACCAGGACUGCAGCUCGGGUGAUGCUGUAGCAGCACGGAAUGGUUUGUGGGUUACACUGAGAUGCAGGCCAUACUGUGCUGCCGCAGUAAAGCCUGAAUAUACAACCUGGCUGUCACCCCACGGUUCUUUCAACCUGUUGAAGCUGACUUGUUUAUUAUCACCCCUAGAUUAAGUAAUGCCACAUAGACAAUUGUUGGUCUGAUGAUUAAAAAAAAAAGUUUGUUGGAUUUUCCUCUCUCAUUUGCGGGUCGCUUUACUGUAGCAGCACGUAAAUAUUGGAGUUAAGACUCUAGCUGAAGCCUCCAGUAUUGAUCGUGCUGCUGAAGCAAAGCUGACCACUCACAAUCAGCGCCACUGAGUGUACUCUGACCACCCUGGUGGUGCCAAAGUGCUUGAGAGAUGCUUACAGGUACACUGUUUACACAGAUUGAGUUAACCUCCAACACUACUUUGCUUUAAUAGUUAAAAUGUGUACACACCAUCUUUUUACGUUUCACUGUUCUGUCUGCACACUUUAAGAAAAUAAAAAUUUCAAUUGGC
Long non-coding RNA from Centropristis striata (black sea bass), 867 nucleotides. RefSeq lists it as uncharacterized. The transcript has 2 exons. The record is from RefSeq and is a predicted model, not a curated record. Lineage: Eukaryota; Metazoa; Chordata; Actinopteri; Perciformes; Serranidae.